Molecule: ribosomal RNA, 520 nt
Filed under: uncultured bacterium
Lineage: Bacteria
Description: bacterial SSU rRNA
Rfam family: Archaeal small subunit ribosomal RNA
Source: RNAcentral
AACCUCCGCAAUGUGAGAAAUCGCGACGGGGGGAUCCCAAGUGCCAUUCUUAACGGGAUGGCUUUUCAUUAGUGUAAAGAGCUUUUGGAAUAAGGGCUGGGCAAGACCGGUGCCAGCCGCCGCGGUAACACCGGCAGCUCUAGUGGUAGCAGUUUUUAUUGGGCCUAAAGCGUCCGUAGCCGGUCUAAUAAGUCUCUGGUGAAAUCCUGUAGCUUAACUGUGGGAAUUGCUGGAGAUACUAUUAGACUUGAGACCGGGAGAGGUUAGAGGUACUCCCAGGGUAGAGGUGAAAUUCUGUAAUCCUGGGAGGACCGCCUGUUGCGAAGGCGUCUAACUGGAACGGUUCUGACGGUGAGGGACGAAAGUUAGGGCGCGAACCGGAUUAGAUACCCGGGUAGUCCUAACUGUAAACGAUGCGGACUUGGUGUUGGGGUGGCUUUGAGCUGCUCCAGUGCCGAAGGGAAGCUGUUAAGUCCGCCGCCUGGGAAGUACGGUCGCAAGACUGAAACUUAAAGGAAUG